RNAcentral lists this ribosomal RNA (329 nucleotides) under uncultured eukaryote. Its description in RNAcentral is "partial 18S ribosomal RNA". It matches the Rfam family "Eukaryotic small subunit ribosomal RNA", at positions 1470 to 1796 of the family's 1831-position model. The record is from RNAcentral.
CCCUUAGAUGUUCUGGGCCGCACGCGCGCUACACUGAUGCAUUCAACGAGUCUAAAACCUGCUCUGAUAGGGGUGGGUAAUCUUUUGAAUGUGCAUCGUGAUUGGGAUAGAUGAUUGCAAUUUUUCAUCUUCAACGAGGAAUGCCUAGUAAACGCAAGUCAUCAGCUUGCAUUGAUUACGUCCCUGCCCUUUGUACACACCGCCCGUCGCUCCUACCGAUUGAAUGAUCCGAUGAAUAUCAUGGAUUGAGGAUGCAAGUAGGUUAGCCUAUCUUCAUCUUCGAGACGUGAAGUAAAUCUUAUCAUUUAGAGGAAGGAGAAGUCGUAACA